This 1155-nucleotide long non-coding RNA is filed under the name Mytilus galloprovincialis (Mediterranean mussel). The record is from RNAcentral. Lineage: Eukaryota; Metazoa; Mollusca; Bivalvia; Mytilida; Mytilidae.
UCUUUACAACAAACGUGACAUCUAUCAUGUUUACCUCCAGUGCGUAUUCUCAUGUGUCUCUAAGCCACGAAGUUUACAUUACUCUUUACCCCACAAGCGACAUUUGUAAGGUUUAUCUCCAGUGUGUAUUCUCAUAUGUCUCUAAGCCACGACGUUCGCAUAACUCUUUACCCCACACGCGACAUUUAAAAGGUUCAUCUCCAGUGUGUAUUCUCAUAUGUCUCUAAGCCACGACGUUCGCAUAACUCUUUACCCCACACGCGACAUUUAUAAGCUUCAUCUCCAAUGCGUAUUCUCAUGUGUCUCUAAGCCACGAAGUUUACAUUACUCUUUACCUCACACGUGACAUGUAUUUAAGGUUUAUCUCCAGUGUGUAUUCUCAUGUGUCUCUAAGCCACGAAAUUUCCACUCUUUACCUCACACGUGACAUGUAUUUAAGGUUUAUCUCUAGUGUGUAUUCUCAUGUGUCUCUAAGCAACGAAUUUUACACUCUUUACCUCACACGUGACAUGUAUUUAAGGUUUAUCUCCAGUGUGUAUUCUCAUGUGUCUCUAAGCCACAAAGUUUUCAUUACUCUUUACCACACACGUGACAUUUAAAAGGUUCAUCUCCAGUGUGUAUUCUCAUGUGUCUCUAAGCCACAAAGUUUUCAUUACUCUUUACCCCACACGUGACAUUUAAAAGGUUCAUCUCCAGUGUGUAUUAUCAUGUGUCUUCAAGCCACGAUGUUCGCAUAACUCUUUACCCCACACGUGACAUUUAUAAGGUUCAUCUCCAGUGUGUAUUAUCAUGUGUCUUCAAGCCACGAUGUUCGCGUAACUCUUUACCCCACACGUGACAUAUAUUAAAGAUUUAUCUCCGGUGUGUUUCAAAGCCACGACGUUCGUUCGUAUUACUCUUUACCCCAAACGUGAUAUUUAUAAGGUUCAUCUCCAGUGUGUGUUCUCAUGUGUUUCUCUAAUAGUCCGGCGGCUUUGUAAAAAAUUGUGCACAUCCUGUUACAAGCAUGAAAUUUGGCAUAGACCUUCCUCAACUAUUACUCUUUUAUUUCAGAUAGGGAGGCAUUUGAAAAAAAUGUCUCACUUCCGGUAAAAUCCAAAAUGGCGGACGUUAUACUUAAAUCAGCCCAAUAUCGAAGACUAGCGUGUAAAAAUG